GAAAAGGUAAAAGCGGCGGCGGCCACCUUACGAUUAGAGCGCUGCAAGUCCGCCGAUGGACAUCAACUGCAGUGAAAACAGGCGUUUGCAAUGUGAAUCUAUCCGUGGCGUGCAAAGUCCUCAGUCCGCUUUCAUCUUUUGCAUUUUAUGAUCUAGACUGUUUUCCCCUCGUGUUGGAUUGCAGCUGGUCCCUUGUGUCUACCUAUAUCAGGUUGAAGGAGCACCCAGUCAUGAGGAGGAUAAGGUUCCACACAAGGACAAACCUAUGAGGUGGCACUGUGGCUUUCCAAAUAAAGUUCUGUGAUACACUUAGACUCUAACUGCCCGCAGUCAGUGCAUUACAGAACUUUGUUUUGGAAGUUAAUACUUUAACCUUUUGGAAAUAAAACCUCAAACAUCUGGACAUUUUAGUUUACAGAAUGUCUCAUUGUUUCUGUUGGCAAAUGUUGUCUAAAAUAAAGUUUCUAUUUUAAUCCA
Long non-coding RNA from Oreochromis aureus, 477 nucleotides. RefSeq lists it as uncharacterized. Lineage: Eukaryota; Metazoa; Chordata; Actinopteri; Cichliformes; Cichlidae. The record is from RefSeq and is a predicted model, not a curated record. The transcript has 2 exons.